Molecule: ribosomal RNA, 453 nt
Filed under: Salmonella enterica subsp. enterica serovar Enteritidis
Lineage: Bacteria; Pseudomonadati; Pseudomonadota; Gammaproteobacteria; Enterobacterales; Enterobacteriaceae
Description: bacterial SSU rRNA
Rfam family: Bacterial small subunit ribosomal RNA
Source: RNAcentral
AAAUUGAAGAGUUUGAUCAUGGCUCAGAUUGAACGCUGGCGGCAGGCCUAACACAUGCAAGUCGAACGGUAACAGGAAGCAGCUUGCUGCUUUGCUGACGAGUGGCGGACGGGUGAGUAAUGUCUGGGAAACUGCCUGAUGGAGGGGGAUAACUACUGGAAACGGUGGCUAAUACCGCAUAACGUCGCAAGACCAAAGAGGGGGACCUUCGGGCCUCUUGCCAUCAGAUGUGCCCAGAUGGGAUUAGCUUGUUGGUGAGGUAACGGCUCACCAAGGCGACGAUCCCUAGCUGGUCUGAGAGGAUGACCAGCCACACUGGAACUGAGACACGGCCCAGACUCCUACGGGAGGCAGCAGUGGGGAAUAUUGCACAAUGGGCGCAAGCCUGAUGCAGCCAUGCCGCGUGUAUGAAGAAGGCCUUCGGGUUGUAAAGUACUUUCAGCGGGGAGGAAG